UUUUACGUUUUUUUUUUUCCCCACCGGCUGGUUGGACUAUAGCGCCUUCAACCUUCUCGCGAGAUUACAUAGCGCACUGCACUGCUUUUCUGUUUAAUCUUUCUCUUUAUCAGGAAAUUAAAUGACCUUUCCUAUCUUCUUCAGCAUAUUGAAAAUAAUGAAGUUUUUCCCACUGUUUAUUUCCUAUUAGUUCCGACUUUCUUUUACGUGCCAUUUUAAGGUUAAGUUAGGGAUGGUCUGCGAUGGCUUACACUGUUUACAGUGCUGGGUUGCGUUCAGAAACUUCGCCUAGGUGCAUCUAGAUGUCAUUUUAUCCUUGUUUAACAUUCGGUGAAUAACAAGGAUAAACUCUGCGGUGGCACUAUCUUGCUGAUUUCAAUCCGGAGAAAGGAGGCUAUUUCAUUUUGCACGGAGACUUGUCAGCUUAUGUGUAUCGCUUAGGCGUAGCAAUUACGUUGGGCUAACACGUGUUUUCGAAAUGACAUCUUCUUCUUAUUCGAGGUGAGGAAUUGGACGCCGGAGUAUUACGUCGCAAAUCAGUCGAACUGCGAGCGGAUUCUAGAUUCUAGAAGGUGAGAUGCACUGACGGAUACACCUUUAUUGAAUAACGUUUAACUGCAUGAUAUCAGAGACAAAGAGUUGGACGAAGAUUUCGAGGAAUGAUUCAGGAUAUAUGCAAUCCUGAGUAUUAUUUUAAGGAGUACGAGAUGAAGAACACUGAGGGGGGGGGGGAGUGACGUUAGAUGUGGAAUGUACACGGAUGCAGCUCGUUGCCUGGGCUGCACGAGAAAAUUUUGAUGCGCUCCAAGAGGAAUAGAAAUGCCGAGAAACAAACUUACGAUAUUGUGAUCUCUGUACCUGGACCAAAUGGCUGGGCAAGGGAAAGGAAUACGAGCGCACGGACGCCUGACACCAACAUGCAGUAACAGUGUCAACAAAAGGAGUCCCUGGAUGAUGACAACUUAGAGGAAAUGGAUUGUUUGGACCAGUUACAAACAAAAAGAGAGUCUCGGCGGUUAACAAUGAUGCAAAUGCGAGCGGUGCUCAUCGCAGUGCGAAAGUUCAAUGUAUAUUGUCGGAAGAUCGUAUAUUGAAUUUUCCGAUCCCGAUCGAUGGAGGAAAGGCUUGCAUGGUGAAAGUAAAUUAUUUACAACGAGACUGUCUUAAAAUUGAGCCAGAUUAUUGAUGGUAAUAGAAUUGAUAUCGUUGGAUCCAAUAUUAAAUGCAAUUCAUGAUUCAGUCGAAAUGGACGAGGUUGAAAUAUGUACUUAUAAUUCACCGGCUUCUUUGGUGCCUCGAUUAUACACGCAAUAAAAGUGAUUGAGCUUACAAAAAACCGCCAAUUGUAAGUGCUCCGGAAAUUAUAUAUCUAAAGCACAGCUCAUCAGAAGUGAUUAUUUGCACAUAGUAUUGAGUCAGUUGCUUUACGGAUACACUUUGGCUGCGGAUUACUUGAAAUGCCUGUUCUCUAUGAUAUAUGCGAGGAGAAAUACUUGUGCCUUGAUGCAUUUCCGUUGAACGUAACGUAAUUUCCCAGCGAGUGAACUUCCAGAGCCGCAAGCCUUUUCCGAAGAAGUUUUAUGACUUCUUGACAUUAUUUGUAAGGAAAAGCCACUAUUUGUGGAGGUGACUUUGGAAAAUCUGAAUGAACUAGCUUUAAUCCCGAAAUUGUCCAGAACGAUUUUGUUUCGGAGAUUCGCAAAAGGCACAACAAUAUACACGCGGACGGUCUACACGCAUUAAUGGUUUCCGCUAGAUUGAUGUUCUUAUCUUACGGAAAAACUCGACGCUAGACAAAGAAUUCUGGGAGAAAGUUGUGCAGCUGGAAGAUGAAAGAAGUAAUGGGCUGUCACUUCCGCACCGCGACAGGUAAUCGUUCGGGCCCCAGGAUAGAAUCACAAAUAUACCGAGUGUACAUCAUACGAUACAAUUUAUUUUCUUUGCACUUUUAUAAUUAAAUAAUUAUCUAUAAUAUUAUAUAACAAUUAUUAUGAGUUGAAUCCGAAACUUCCGUUCUAUUUUACAGAGUAAUUAACAAUGUAAAAAUGUAUAUAUUAUAAAAUAGUAUAUAAUUUUUAGUUUAGGAUUCAACUUGCAUUUACAGAGAUAAAGAUCAUAGAUAAUUGUACUUUAGUAAAUAAACUUUUUACUAAUAAGUAUAA
Long non-coding RNA from Wasmannia auropunctata (little fire ant), 2162 nucleotides. RefSeq lists it as uncharacterized. The record is from RefSeq and is a predicted model, not a curated record. NCBI's taxonomy places the organism in Eukaryota, Metazoa, Arthropoda, Insecta, Hymenoptera, Formicidae. The transcript has 6 exons.